CGUGUAGGCGGCCAGAUAGGUCGGUUGUGAAAACUAGAGGCUCAACCUCUAGACGUCGACCGAAACCAUUUGGCUAGAGUCCGGAAGAGGAGAGUGGAAUUCCUGGUGUAGCGGUGGAAUGCGCAGAUAUCAGGAAGAACACCCGUGGCGAAGGCGGCUCUCUGGGACGGUACUGACGCUGAGACGCGAAAGCGUGGGGAGCGAACA
Molecule: ribosomal RNA, 207 nt
Filed under: uncultured bacterium
Lineage: Bacteria
Description: partial 16S ribosomal RNA
Rfam family: Bacterial small subunit ribosomal RNA
Source: RNAcentral